AUAUACAACAUGCCAAUAGCCUGUAAGUUGUAUAAUCUCUGUCCAUUUAUUACUUCAUUUGUUUACUUUUUGGCAAAAUAUUCCCUCAACUUAAAUUCUGCGGAACCUAUAAUGUUAUUCAUCUUUUCUUGAGUAGAUAAAUUAACUGAUAUGGAAGUAAUUCUGUUCUUUCUUAUUUACCUUUCAAGGGUUUGUGUAUUUGGACCCAUUUCAUCUGUGGUAGGUGGGGUAGAAUUUUUCAUCAACAAUGGAAAAGUUGGUGAAUUUCGAAUUUGGGAAAUUGCGGUAGUUAGAUGGAAAUUGAAAUAGUAAAAUAUAAAAUUGUUGAAUUUGAAAAUGAAUUUAGGUUUGUGAACAUGUAGGUGACUAACUUGGCAUAUGCCUUCUUAACGGAGUUGUAAUCUGAAAUGAUAUUAUUGCAAAUUGAGAUAGUCAUAAAGUUGUUUGCUUCGAUCAUUUUUAGUAUGUGUCGGUUAUCACGCCUUUUUAUGCUGAAUGUUAACUGGUAAGUGUUCAUUGCUGAACUGGGGUUUUG
RNAcentral lists this unclassified non-coding RNA (535 nucleotides) under Hevea brasiliensis (rubber tree). The record is from RNAcentral. Lineage: Eukaryota; Viridiplantae; Streptophyta; Magnoliopsida; Malpighiales; Euphorbiaceae.